AUUGAACGCUGGCGGUAGGCCUAACACAUGCAAGUCGAACGGUAACAGAAUAAGACCUUCUUCUUAGGUGUCGCGAGUGGGGGGCGGGUGAAAUAUACGGGAAACUGCCCUAUUGCGUGGGGUAAAUACUGGAAACGGUAACGCAUAUAGCAUAAAGUCGCAAGAGCUAAAAGCGGGGGAUUUUCGGACCUUGCCCUCUUGUAUGACCCGAUGUGGGAUUAGCUAGGUGGUGGGGUAAGGGCCCCCCAAGGCGACGAUCCGUAGCUGGUCUGAGAGGAUGAUCAGCCACACUGGAACUGAGACACGGUCCAGACUCCUACGGGAGGCAGCAGUGGGGAAUAUUGGACAAUGGGCGCAAGCCUGAUGCAGCCAUGCCGCGUGGAUGAAGAAGGCCUUCGGGUUGUAAAGCACUUUCGUUGGGAAAGAAAAGCAGAAAGUUAAUACCUCGCCGUUUUGACGGUACCCAAAGAAUAAGCACCGGCUAACUUCGUG
This 492-nucleotide ribosomal RNA is filed under the name uncultured bacterium. RNAcentral's name for it is "partial 16S ribosomal RNA". It matches the Rfam family "Bacterial small subunit ribosomal RNA", at positions 30 to 507 of the family's 1533-position model. The record is from RNAcentral.